UACGAAGGGGGCUAGCGUUGCUCGGAAUCACUGGGCGUAAAGGGCGCGUAGGCGGCGUUUUAAGUCGGGGGUGAAAGCCUGUGGCUCAACCGACAGAAUGGCCCUUCGAUACUGGGACGCUUGAGUAUGGUAGAGGUUGGUGGAACUGCGAGUGUAGAGGUGAAAUUCGUAGAUAUUCGCAAGAACACCGGUGGCGAAGGCGGCCAACUGGACCAUACUGACGCUGAGGCGCGAAAGCGUGGGGAGCAAACAGGAUAGAAAC
Molecule: ribosomal RNA, 262 nt
Filed under: uncultured bacterium
Lineage: Bacteria
Description: partial 16S ribosomal RNA
Rfam family: Bacterial small subunit ribosomal RNA
Source: RNAcentral